RNAcentral lists this long non-coding RNA (204 nucleotides) under Elaeis guineensis (African oil palm). Its description in RNAcentral is "long non-coding RNA (EGUI_LNC024913)". The record is from RNAcentral. Lineage: Eukaryota; Viridiplantae; Streptophyta; Magnoliopsida; Arecales; Arecaceae.
CCAUGAGGUCUAUAUUUAUUUUAUAUUACUUUAUAUUCAUUGCAUCCAAACUUUGUGUUUAUCCAUGGUCCAUUUCUAUUUAUUUUUGUGAUAUUUCUAUUUAUCGAUAUAGACUAAAUGUUUAUCCAAACAUUUAGUGUUGAUGUUUUUAUUUAUUUCUAUAGAAUAGUGCAGGUUCCUGUUGCGGCCAAUCGCCUCGUCGCC